GAUGAACGCUGGCGGCGUGCUUAACACAUGCAAGUCGAACGAAGCACUUUAUUUGAUUUCCUUCGGGACUGAUUAUUUUGUGACUGAGUGGCGGACGGGUGAGUAACGCGUGGGUAACCUGCCUUGUACAGGGGGAUAACAGUUGGAAACGGCUGCUAAUACCGCAUAAGCGCACGGCAUCGCAUGAUGCAGUGUGAAAAACUCCGGUGGUAUAAGAUGGACCCGCGUUGGAUUAGCUAGUUGGUGAGGUAACGGCCCACCAAGGCGACGAUCCAUAGCCGACCUGAGAGGGUGGCCGGCCACAUUGGGACUGAGACACGGCCCAAACUCCUACGGGAGGCAGCAGUGGGGAAUAUUGCACAAUGGGCGAAAGCCUGAUGCAGCGACGCCGCGUGAGCGAAGAAGUAUUUCGGUAUGUAAAGCUCUAUCAGCAGGGAAGAUAAUGACGGUACCUGACUAAGAAGCACCGGCUAAAUACGUG
RNAcentral lists this ribosomal RNA (481 nucleotides) under uncultured bacterium. RNAcentral describes it as "partial 16S ribosomal RNA". It matches the Rfam family "Bacterial small subunit ribosomal RNA", at positions 28 to 507 of the family's 1533-position model. The record is from RNAcentral.